UUUCCGUAGGUGAACCUGCGGAAGGAUCAUUACCGAGUGAAGGUCUCUCAGGCCCGAGCUACCAUCCCGUGUUUUUGUGACCUUGUUGCUUUGGCGGGCCCGCCUCAAGGAGAGGCCGCCGGGAGCACACCGCCUUUGGCCCGUGCCCGUCAGUAGCCCCCGUAAAUCCUUAAUAAAAAUGUAAACUGUGAUAAAGGAAUUAAUUAAAAAAAACUUUCAACAACGGAGCACUUGGUCCUGAGAGCGAUGAAGAAAACAGCAGAUCGGAAGAAGAAACGC
This 279-nucleotide unclassified non-coding RNA is filed under the name plant metagenome. RNAcentral's name for it is "partial contains small subunit ribosomal RNA, internal transcribed spacer 1, and 5.8S ribosomal RNA". The record is from RNAcentral.